AGCAGCCGCGGUAAUUCCAGCUCCAAUAGCGUAUAUUAAAGUUGUUGCAGUUAAAAAGCUCGUAGUUGAAUUUCGGGAUUGACGUGAUGGUCAUGCCUUAAGGGGUAUGAACUGUUACAGUUGAUUUCUCACCUUCUGGAGAAACUUGAUGUCCUUUAUUGGGUGUCUUGCGGAUCCAGGACCUUUUACCUUGAAAAAAAUUAGAGUGUUUAAAGCAGGCAUUUUUGCUCGAAUACAUUAGCAUGGAAUAAUAGAAUAGGACGGCAUGGUUCUAUUUUGUUGGUUUCUAGGAUCACCGUAAUGAUUAAUAGGGAUAGUUGGGGGCAUUAGUAUUCAAUUGUCAGAGGUGAAAUUCUUGGAUUUAUUGAAGACUAACUACUGCGAAAGCAUUUGCCAAGGAUGUUUUCAUUAAUCAAGAACGAAAGUUAGGGGAUCGAAGACGAUCAGAUACCGUCGUAGUCUUAACCAUAAACUAUGCCGACUAGGAAUCAGACGAUGUUAAUUUUUUAAUUGACUCGUU
This 520-nucleotide ribosomal RNA is filed under the name uncultured Entrophospora. Its description in RNAcentral is "SSU rRNA". It matches the Rfam family "Eukaryotic small subunit ribosomal RNA", at positions 569 to 1080 of the family's 1831-position model. Lineage: Eukaryota; Fungi; Glomeromycota; Glomeromycetes; Entrophosporales; Entrophosporaceae. The record is from RNAcentral.